GAUCAUGGCUCAGGAUGAACGCUAGCUACAGGCUUAACACAUGCAAGUCGAGGGGCAGCAUGAACUUAGCUUGCUAAGUUUGAUGGCGACCGGCGCACGGGUGAGUAACACGUAUCCAACCUUCCCGUUACUCUGGAAUAGCCUUUCGAAAGAAAGAUUAAUACCGGAUAGUAUCGAGAGAUUGCAUGAUUACCCGAUUGAAGAUUCAUCGGUAACGGAUGGGGACGCGUUCCAUUAGG
This 239-nucleotide ribosomal RNA is filed under the name uncultured bacterium. RNAcentral's name for it is "partial 16S ribosomal RNA". It matches the Rfam family "Bacterial small subunit ribosomal RNA", at positions 15 to 245 of the family's 1533-position model. The record is from RNAcentral.